CCUACGGGAGGCUGCAGUGAGGAAUAUUGGUCAAUGGUCGCAAGACUGAACCAGCCAUGCCGCGUGCAGGAUGAAGGCCCUAUGGGUUGUAAACUGCUUUUCUCAGGGAAUAAACCCUUCUACGUGUAGAAGGCUGAAGGUACCUGAGGAAUAAGGACCGGCUAACUUCGUGCCAGCAGCCGCGGUAAUACGAAGGGUCCAAGCGUUAUCCGGAUUUAUUGGGUUUAAAGGGUGCGCAGGUGGGGCUUUAAGUCAGUGGUGAAAUCUCGUAGCUC
This 275-nucleotide ribosomal RNA is filed under the name uncultured bacterium. RNAcentral's name for it is "partial 16S ribosomal RNA". It matches the Rfam family "Bacterial small subunit ribosomal RNA", at positions 338 to 610 of the family's 1533-position model. The record is from RNAcentral.